GUUUAGCGGCCUUGCUGUCCGGCUUGGGGUGACUCAGCCCUCCCACUGGAGGCCUCUGUGUGAACUGCUGAGACACUUUCGUUCAUGCUGGGCUUGGUGAUGUCAUUUGACCUUUCGCUCAGCUCGGCUUCACUACUUGUGUGUCAGGUCUGCCUGUAUCAGUGAGAGUAGAGCUUGGCCUGCCUACUCCGCUGUGAAUACAGAGGCGGUCCAGGUGCCCAGACAGCCUGGUCGUUAGGAGGCUCACCAGGUGACGUGGAACAGACAAAGAGAAUCAUCUUCUUUUAAGAUGAGGAUCACAAGGAAGACAGAAAAAUGUAACUGUUUCUAAGAAAAGAAUAUAUUCUGGAGUCUGAGUCUGCAAAAUAUCAAUAUGGCAAGCCCAGCUUGAGGUUUUCAGGGAGACCAGCACAGAUUGCACUUCCUCCAGGAAGCCCUCCGGGCUGUUGAGGGCUUGGUUCUUUUCCAUCCCAGCACUGACUUUAAACUGCCGAGUGUGAUCUGCCCGUCUCCUGCUCUGGGUCCCGUCUUCACCUCUCAGUGUCCGGCCGAGCAUCUGCACCACCAGGCGCUCAGUGCGCCUUCGGAAUCCAACUGGAUUUGGACUGGAUUGGCUUCCUCUUCCACGUCAGGGAUCUACCAGUGUGAUGUGUGUGCGUGUGUGCUCAGUGACUCUUUGCAAUCCUAUGGACUGUAGCCCACCUGACUUCUGUCCAUGGGAUUCUCCAGGCAAGAAUACUGGAGUGGGUAGCCAUUUCUUACUACAGGGGAUCUUCCUGGCCCAGGAUUGAACCUGCAUCUCCUUCAUUGCAGAUGGAUUCUUUUCUGCUGAGCCACCUGGGAAGCCCCAGAUCCACCAGGGAACAAGUGACAUGGUGCUCUGGGCACAGGGACUGCUGCCGCCUUGUCCCUAGAAUGACUUUAAUGUGACUUUGCAACACCACCCUGUGAGGAAGACCCAGAAGAUUUCUGCAAAGGGGCAGAUCAGGAGGCAGCUGUGUGAGUCU
Molecule: long non-coding RNA, 1007 nt
Organism: Bos indicus x Bos taurus (hybrid cattle)
Lineage: Eukaryota; Metazoa; Chordata; Mammalia; Artiodactyla; Bovidae
Source: Ensembl